AUUGCUUAUAACCUUUUGGUUAUAAAUAAUUGUUAGUGGCAGACGGGUGAGUAAUGCGUAGGAAUCUACCUAGUAGUAUGGAAUAGCCAUUAGAAAUGAUGGGUAAUACUGUAUAAUCCCUGCGGGGGAAAGAUUUAUCGCUAUUAGAUGAGCCUACGUUAGAUUAGCUAGUUGGUAAGGUAAUGGCUUACCAAGGCUAUGAUCUAUAGCUGGUCUGAGAGGACGAUCAGCCACACUGGAACUGAGAUACGGUCCAGACUCCUACGGGAGGCAGCAGUGGGGAAUAUUGGACAAUGGGCGAAAGCCUGAUCCAGCUAUGCCGCGUGAGUGAAGAAGGCCUUCGGGUUGUAAAACUCUUUCAAUAGGGAAGAUAAUGACGGUA
RNAcentral lists this ribosomal RNA (382 nucleotides) under Ehrlichia chaffeensis. Its description in RNAcentral is "bacterial SSU rRNA". It matches the Rfam family "Bacterial small subunit ribosomal RNA", at positions 66 to 477 of the family's 1533-position model. The record is from RNAcentral. Lineage: Bacteria; Pseudomonadati; Pseudomonadota; Alphaproteobacteria; Rickettsiales; Anaplasmataceae.